CAGAGGGUGCGAGCGUUGUCCGGAAUCACUGGGCGUAAAGGGCGCGUAGGUGGCGCUCCAAGUCUGUGGUGAAAGCCCGACGCUCAACGUCGAGUCGGCCAUAGAGACUGGAGGGCUCGAGCACUGUAGGGGCAGAUGGAAUUCCGGGUGUAGCGGUGGAAUGCGUAGAGAUCCGGAAGAACACCGGUGGCGAAGGCGGUCUGCUGGGCAGUUGCUGACACUGAGGCGCGACAGCGUGGGGAGCAAACAGGAUUAGAUACCCUGGUAGUCCACGCCGUAAACGAUGGGCACUAGAUGCUUGGGGGAGCGACCCCCUGAGUGUCGUCGCUAACGCAGUAAGUGCCCCGCCUGGGGAGUACGGCCGCAAGGCUG
Molecule: ribosomal RNA, 372 nt
Filed under: uncultured organism
Description: bacterial SSU rRNA
Rfam family: Bacterial small subunit ribosomal RNA
Source: RNAcentral